UGGCUUUAAGAGAUGCACGCACGGGACUCGUGCAAUGAGGAAAUUCGAGCGAUCUUUUUGUAGAACAUUCUGGAGGGGUGUUGGAGGUAUAACUAUCUUUGGAUCCAAAAGAAUGAUGAGAAAGGACAAGGGUUUUGCGUAUAUACUUAUUUUGCUGCUUCGAAAUGGUCUUGGUGUCCUCUCAAAAAUAAAUGGUCUUUGGAUAGGAGUAUGGGAUGAAAAGGUGAUGGGAGUGGAAGCAACGAGAGGAAGGGAAGUGUCGCAAAAACACUAGUGGUGCG
RNAcentral lists this long non-coding RNA (281 nucleotides) under Phoenix dactylifera (date palm). Its description in RNAcentral is "long non-coding RNA (PDAC_LNC006170)". Lineage: Eukaryota; Viridiplantae; Streptophyta; Magnoliopsida; Arecales; Arecaceae. The record is from RNAcentral.